AUUGAACGCUGGCGGAAUGCUUUACACAUGCAAGUCGAACGGCAGCACGGGGGCAACCCUGGUGGCGAGUGGCGAACGGGUGAGUAAUACAUCGGAACGUGCCCAGUCGUGGGGGAUAACGUAGCGAAAGUUACGCUAAUACCGCAUACGAUCUACGGAUGAAAGCGGGGGACCGUAAGGCCUCGCGCGAUUGGAGCGGCCGAUGUCAGAUUAGGUAGUUGGUGAGGUAAGGGCUCACCAAGCCGACGAUCUGUAGCUGGUCUGAGAGGCCGGGCAGCCACACUGGGACUGAGACACGGCCCAGACUCCUACGGGAGGCAGUAGUGGGGAAUUUUGGACAAUGGGCGCAAGCCUGAUCCAGCCAUUCCGCGUGCAGGACGAAGGCCUUCGGGUUGUAAACUGCUUUUGUACGGAACGAAAAGGCUCUGGUUAAUACCUGGGGCUCAUGACGGUACCGUAAGAAUAAGCACCGGCUAACUACGUGCCAGCAGCCGCGGUAA
RNAcentral lists this ribosomal RNA (500 nucleotides) under uncultured bacterium. RNAcentral describes it as "partial 16S ribosomal RNA". It matches the Rfam family "Bacterial small subunit ribosomal RNA", at positions 30 to 523 of the family's 1533-position model. The record is from RNAcentral.